UACGGGGGGAGCAAGCGUUGUUCGGAAUCACUGGGCGUAAAGGGAGUCUCGGCGGUUUGGUAAGUGGGAUGUGAAAUCCCCGGGCUCACCCCGGGACCUGCAUCCCAAACUGCUGAGCUUGAGUACAGGAGAGGGUGGGGGAAUUCCAGGUGUAGCGGUGAAAUGCGUAGAUAUCUGGAGGAACACCGGUGGCGAAGGCGCCCACCUGGCCUGCUACUGACGCUGAAGCUCGAAAGCUAGGGGAGCAAACGGG
RNAcentral lists this ribosomal RNA (253 nucleotides) under uncultured bacterium. Its description in RNAcentral is "partial 16S ribosomal RNA". It matches the Rfam family "Bacterial small subunit ribosomal RNA", at positions 524 to 776 of the family's 1533-position model. The record is from RNAcentral.